This 242-nucleotide unclassified non-coding RNA is filed under the name Ambisporaceae sp. Its description in RNAcentral is "partial contains 5.8S ribosomal RNA and internal transcribed spacer 2". The stretch from base 1 to 71 matches the Rfam family "5.8S ribosomal RNA", at positions 84 to 154 of the family's 154-position model. The record is from RNAcentral. Lineage: Eukaryota; Fungi; Glomeromycota; Glomeromycetes; Archaeosporales; Ambisporaceae.
GUGAAUCAUCAAAUCUUUGAACGCAUAUUGCACUCUCUGGUAUUCCGGAGAGUAUGCCUAUUUGAGGGUCAUUUGAAAUAAUAUAAAUUUGGAGGGUUUCUUGGAAUCAAAAAUGGGAGGGUCCAGCAUUGGUGUGGUGGUCGCCUAGAAGGAAGGACAAGCUCAUUUCUUGGGUGGCGGGAUACGUUCAGUUACUUCGGGACUUCACAAGGGAUCUUUGGGGGGGUUGGGAAUUGUGCAGG